Long non-coding RNA from Esox lucius (northern pike), 361 nucleotides. RefSeq lists it as uncharacterized. The record is from RefSeq and is a predicted model, not a curated record. The transcript is spliced from 3 exons. NCBI's taxonomy places the organism in Eukaryota, Metazoa, Chordata, Actinopteri, Esociformes, Esocidae.
UUUUGGCUUUAAAGAAUCUUGGCAAGAGGCGAUGAGAUAUUUGGUGUGCUUCCAAACAGGUUCCAGCGUUGAAACGACGGACGAUGACAAGAAGGGAAAGCGAAAGAGUAUCUCAAAUUCCAAGUACAGACCCCAGGCCUCUUCUGAUGAAGUGGAGUCUAGUCUUCCAGAUGUACCGGCAAUGAUGUCGUUUCGAACAACGUCUUUUGAGAUUUGAAAACAUUGUUCCCGGUAACGAGGUUUCAGUGCUGCCCCAUGCUCCAGAAGUUGCAUCGAUCCAGACAACCAGGAAAAAGUUGAGCCAUCUGUAGACUUCAGAGCUGAACCAGGUUUCUCCCCAGUAAUCCUGACUCCACUUCAC